RNAcentral lists this ribosomal RNA (465 nucleotides) under uncultured bacterium. Its description in RNAcentral is "partial 16S ribosomal RNA". It matches the Rfam family "Bacterial small subunit ribosomal RNA", at positions 338 to 795 of the family's 1533-position model. The record is from RNAcentral.
CCUACGGGUGGCAGCAGUAGGGAAUCUUCCACAAUGGGCGAAAGCCUGAUGGAGCAACGCCGCGUGAGUGAAGAAGGUCUUCGGAUCGUAAAACCCUGUUGUUAGAGAAGUAAGUGCGUGAGAGUAACUGUUCACGUUUCGACGGUAUCUAACCAGAAAGCCACGGCUAACUACGUGCCAGCCGCCGCGGUAAUACGUAGGAGGCAAGCGUUAUCCGGAUUUAUUGGGCGUAAAGGGAACGCAGGCGGUCUUUUAAGUCUGAUGUGAAAGACUUCGGCUUAACCGGAGGAGUGCAUUUGAAACUGGGAGACUUGAGUGCAGAAGAGGAGAGGGGAACUCCAGGUGUAGCGGUGAAAUGCGUAGAUAUAUGGAAGAACACCAGUGGCGAAAGCGGCUCUCUGGUCUGUAACUGACGCUGAGGUUCGAAAGCGUGGGUAGCAAACAGGAUUAGAUACCCUUGUAGUC